CACUCUGGAGGGGCGGGGGAAUUGAUAAGUUGGGACGACCGGACAGCUUCUCAGGUUGCUAAGCGACGAGGCGGGAGCGCACGCACACCCUGGCUGCUUUGUAGCACCUGAGGAAACUGUGGCGGCGGCGGCGGCGUCCUGGAGACCCAAGAGACCAAGCGAGCGUGUCGCUCCCUCUCGGGUCCGAGGACCUAGCCUAGGAACCUUCUGCCCGGGGUAGUGUCUGGUGAUGAGGCGAGAGUUUUGCUGGGACGCCUACUCCAAAGCGGCCGGGAGUCGCGCUUCUUCCCCACUCCCGAGACAGUUGAUUGAAGAUCAGCAAACAUUGAAAAAAAGUUAAUUGUGCUAUCUGGUUAGCCGAACUCAAACUCACGAUGACAGAAACAAGAAAACUCACUUCCUGUCGUAAGAAGGAGGUUCCCCACAGACAUUGAAUUAACAACUGGAUGAAAACUUCAAGGAAACUGGGUCCAUAGUUCACAACAAGCCUAGAUCUGGGAGAUGCCAGCAAGCAGAAAAACUGUGGCUGAAAUUGAGGCAGUGUUAGCAGAGUCCCAAAAGCAUGCACUGCACAUUUGCUGAAUUGAAUAUUCCAAAACCACAGGUUACAGAAUUCUAACAGUGAAAUUCCGAAGCAUACCUAAAUGUAUAAAUGCUACAAGUUAACCAGGCUGAACUUGGCUUCUGUCAUCUAAUGAAAUGAGAAAAUGAAAUUUCCAAAAAUAUUCUUGACAAGUUGACCCUUAUAAUGAAG
RNAcentral lists this long non-coding RNA (754 nucleotides) under Homo sapiens (human). RNAcentral's name for it is "non-protein coding lnc-VPS54-7:1". Lineage: Eukaryota; Metazoa; Chordata; Mammalia; Primates; Hominidae. The record is from RNAcentral.